Molecule: ribosomal RNA, 253 nt
Filed under: uncultured bacterium
Lineage: Bacteria
Description: partial 16S ribosomal RNA
Rfam family: Bacterial small subunit ribosomal RNA
Source: RNAcentral
UACGAAGGGGGCUAGCGUUGUUCGGAAUCACUGGGCGUAAAGGGAGCGUAGGCGGGUUUCUAAGUCAGGUGUUUAAUCCCGGGGCCCAACCCCGGACAGGCACUUGAAACUGGGAAUCUUGAAUAGGGGAGAGGUCGGUGGAAUUGGAGGUGUAGCGGUGGAAUGCGUAGAGAUCUCCAAGAACACCAGUUGCGAAGGCGGCCGACUGGACCCAUAUUGACGCUGAGGCUCGAAAGCAUGGGGAGCAAACAGG